Molecule: ribosomal RNA, 228 nt
Filed under: uncultured bacterium
Lineage: Bacteria
Description: partial 16S ribosomal RNA
Rfam family: Bacterial small subunit ribosomal RNA
Source: RNAcentral
GAUCCUGGCUCAGGAUGAACGCUGGCGGCGUGCCUAAUACAUGUAAGUCGAACGCUUCACUUCGGUGAAGAGUGGCGAACGGGUGAGUAAUACAUAAGUAACCUGGCAUCUACAGGGGGGAUAACUGAUGGGAAAACGUCAGCUAAGACCGCAUAGGUGUAGAGAUCGCAUGAACUCUAUAUGAAAAGUGCUACGGGACUGGUAGAUGAUGGACUUAUGGCGCAUUAG